AACGAACGCUGGCGGCAGGCCUAACACAUGCAAGUCGAACGCCGUAGCAAUACGGAGUGGCAGACGGGUGAGUAACGCGUGGGAACAUACCCCUCGGUUCGGAAUAACUCAGGGAAACUUGAGCUAAUACCGGAUAAGUCCGAGGUUUUAAUCGACCUUGGAGAAAGAUUUAUCGCCGGAGGAUUGGCCCGCGUCUGAUUAGCUUGUUGGUGAGGUAAUGGCUCACCAAGGCGACGANCAGUAGCUGGUCUGAGAGGAUGAUCAGCCACAUUGGGACUGAGACACGGCCCAAACUCCUACGGGAGGCAGCAGUGGGGAAUAUUGGACAAUGGGGGCAACCCUGAUCCAGCGACGCCGCGUGGGUGAAGAAGGCCUGCGGGUUGUAAAGCCCUUUCGGUGGGGAAGAAAAGUCUCGACCUAAUACGUCGGGACCUUGACGUAACCCACUAAGAAGCACCGGCUAACUCUGUGCCAGCCGCCGCCGU
RNAcentral lists this ribosomal RNA (485 nucleotides) under uncultured bacterium. Its description in RNAcentral is "bacterial SSU rRNA". It matches the Rfam family "Bacterial small subunit ribosomal RNA", at positions 29 to 521 of the family's 1533-position model. The record is from RNAcentral.